RNAcentral lists this non-coding RNA (88 nucleotides) under Natranaerobius trueperi. RNAcentral's name for it is "c-di-GMP sequence". It matches the Rfam family "c-di-GMP-I riboswitch aptamer". From Rfam's summary of the family: GEMM was predicted in a large-scale screen for bacterial structured RNA regulatory elements. Genes associated with GEMM are involved in a diverse array of functions, including chemotaxis regulation, signal transduction, secretion and chitin. Lineage: Bacteria; Bacillati; Bacillota; Clostridia; Natranaerobiales; Natranaerobiaceae. The record is from Rfam by way of RNAcentral.
UUAUAUAAAGGGCAAACUCAACGAAAGUUGAGGACGCAAAGUCAUGGGUCUAAGGUGAUUAAGUCACUACGAUUGCCAAACUGCCGAA